This 580-nucleotide ribosomal RNA is filed under the name uncultured Lactifluus. Its description in RNAcentral is "eukaryotic LSU rRNA". The stretch from base 175 to 328 matches the Rfam family "5.8S ribosomal RNA". Lineage: Eukaryota; Fungi; Basidiomycota; Agaricomycetes; Russulales; Russulaceae. The record is from RNAcentral.
UGGCCUUCUCUUCUGCAGGCUGUGCACGCCUCUCUGGCACUCUCGCUCACAUCCACAUCACCCUUUGUGCAUCACCGCGUGGGCUUUCCCUUUUUAAAAGGGGGGGCUUGCGUUCUCACACAUACACCCUUUAUGAAUGCAACAGUGUAGAAUGUGACUUAAUAAAGUUAAUACAACUUUCAACAACGGAUCUCUUGGCUCUCGCAUCGAUGAAGAACGCAGCGAAAUGCGAUACGUAAUGUGAAUUGCAGAAUUCAGUGAAUCAUCGAAUCUUUGAACGCACCUUGCGCCCCUUGGCAUUCCGAGGGGCACACCCGUUUGAGUGUCGUGAAAUUCUCAACCUUUUUCGAUUCUUCUUGAUCGGAGAAGGCUUGGACUUUGGAGGCUUCUGCUGGCUUCUCUUGAAGCCAGCUCCUCUUAAAUGCAUUAGCGGGGGUUCCCUUUUGCCGGUCCUCGACGUGAUAAGGCUUCUUUCUACGUCUGGGGCCUUGGCUUGAGACCCGCUUCUAAUGGUCUCGUUGAGACGCUGUGAACCCUUUGACCUCAAAUCGGGUGAGACUACCCGCUGAACUUAAGCAUA